This 372-nucleotide ribosomal RNA is filed under the name uncultured organism. RNAcentral's name for it is "bacterial SSU rRNA". It matches the Rfam family "Bacterial small subunit ribosomal RNA", at positions 526 to 896 of the family's 1533-position model. The record is from RNAcentral.
CGUAGGUGGCGAGCGUUGUCCGGAAUUAUUGGGCGUAAAGGGCGCGUAGGCGGUCAUUUAAGUCAGGUGUGAAAGCCCCCGGCUCAACUGGGGAGGGUCACUUGAUACUGAAUGGCUAGAGUGCGGGAGAGGGAAGUGGAAUUCCAUGUGUAGCGGUGAAAUGCGUAGAUAUAUGGAGGAACACCAGUGGCGAAGGCGGCUUCCUGGACCGUAACUGACGCUGAGGCGCGAAAGCUGGGGGAGUGAACGGGAUUAGAUACCCCGGUAAUCCCAGCCGUAAACGAUGGAUGCUAGGUGUAGAGGGUAUCGACCCCUUCUGUGCCGCAGUUAACACAAUAAGCAUCCCGCCUGGGGAGUACGGCCGCAAGGUUG